This 429-nucleotide ribosomal RNA is filed under the name Acidobacteriota bacterium. Its description in RNAcentral is "Acidobacteria bacterium partial 16S ribosomal RNA". It matches the Rfam family "Bacterial small subunit ribosomal RNA", at positions 355 to 776 of the family's 1533-position model. Lineage: Bacteria; Pseudomonadati; Acidobacteriota. The record is from RNAcentral.
UAGGGAAUCUUCCGCAAUGGGCGAAAGCCUGACGGAGCAACGCCGCGUGAGUGAUGAAGGUCUUCGGAUCGUAAAACUCUGUUAUUAGGGAAGAAAAAAUGUGUAAGUAACUAUGCACGUCUUGACGGUACCUAAUCAGAAAGCCACGGCUAACUACGUGCCAGCAGCCGCGGUAAUACGUAGGUGGCAAGCGUUAUCCGGAAUUAUUGGGCGUAAAGCGCGCGUAGGCGGUUUUUUAAGUCUGAUGUGAAAGCCCACGGCUCAACCGUGGAGGGUCAUUGGAAACUGGAAAACUUGAGUGCAGAAGAGGAAAGUGGAAUUCCAUGUGGAGCGGUGAAAUGCGCAGAGAUAUGGAGGAACACCAGUGGCGAAGGCGACUUUCUGGUCUGUAACUGACGCUGAUGUGCGAAAGCGAGGGGAUCAAACAGG